GUUACUGAAUAUAUAUAUAUAUAGGGUUUGCUAACUUGCAUACGCCUGUUUUUCAGUUGGUACAUUUUAGCAAUGUGUACUGGGUUUCAGUAGACAAAAAUACCCUUAUAUCAUGAAUUAUAAGUUUUAAGGUUAAGGGUAUUUUAAUAAUUUUCAUUCUCAAAAUUAAAAAAAUAAAAAAAAGAAACCCCUAAACCCUUACCCACCUCUCAUAUUCCUCUCAACCCUUUCUCUCUUUCAUGUCUUUCACUCCAACUUUUUCUAUGUCAUCCUUACUCUAGCCCCAAUUGAAAGAAAAUCAGAAACACUUGCCUAAUUUUAAUAAUUUUCAUUCUCAAAACUAAAAAAAAGAAACCCCAAACCCUUAUUCACCUCCUUCAUUCUCUGAAUCCUUUCUCCUUCAUCUCUCUCACUCAAACAUUUUCUCUGUCAUCUCUGCACUAGCCCCACCUAAAAAAAGACUCAUUAUUAAAUAAAAUGGUUAGAGAAAAAAAAACUUACAUAAAUAAAAAAAUUAAAGCACCUAAUUUUUUUCUUUCUAUAAUUUUAAAUAAAAUUUUAAGAUUUAGAAUUUUUAUUGUUUGAUUUUAUGGUUGAGAAUUUUAUUGUAUUUUGAUUUGUUUUUUCUUUAGUAAAGGAAAACAAGUUAAUGAAUUUCUACCCAAAGAAAUUAAAUGGCCACAGAGCAAUGUUACGUAGUAGUCUCAGAAUGUAAAGAAGGAUGCUAAUAAGUUUUGGUGCAAGUUGUGCCCGUCGGUUGUAAUAUAUAGAGUGAAGAUAAUGAAAUUAAAGAGAUUUUGAAUGAACUUUUUUCGGAAGGUGAAUAUGUCAAUGACUCAACUCUUUACAAGAGUAAAUCGUUUAAUAAUGAGUGUUUUUUAGUUGGAGCUAGUGCAGAGAUGACAGAGAAAAUGUUUGAGUGGGAGAGAUGAAGGAGAAAGGGUUGAGAGGAAUGAAGGAGGUGAGUAAGGGUUUGGUCUUUUUUUUUAGUUUUGAGAAUGAAAUUUAUUAAAUUAAGACAAGUGUUUCUAAUUUUUUUCAAUUGGGGCUAGGGAUGACAGAAAAGGUUGAAGUGAAAGAGAUGAAAGAGAAAAUGUUGAGAGGAAUGAGAGAGGUGGAUAAGGUUUGGGGUUUCUUUUUUUAUUUUUUUUAUUUUGAGAAUGAAAAUUAUUAAAAUACCCUUAACCUUAAAACUUAAAUUUCAUUAUAUAUAAGGGUAUUUUUGUCUACUGAAACUCGGUACACAUUUCUAAAAUGUACCAACUGAAAAACAUGCAUACGCAAGUUAGCAAACCCCAUAUAUAUGUAUAUAUAUAUAUAUAUGAUUUUAGUUAAAUUAAUUUUGUAUAGUUUAAAGUUUCAGAUUAAAU
RNAcentral lists this long non-coding RNA (1370 nucleotides) under Vigna radiata. RNAcentral describes it as "long non-coding RNA (VRAD_LNC009117)". The record is from RNAcentral. Lineage: Eukaryota; Viridiplantae; Streptophyta; Magnoliopsida; Fabales; Fabaceae.